GGCAGAGGGAGCCCGGCUCCCGUGUUCCAGCACGCGCCAUCGGCGCGCAAGGGACAUGAGGAAAGUCCCCCCACCGUCCGGGCGGGCGACCGGGCGCGAGCCCGGGGCGGGAGACCGCCGGCGCUGGAACAGAAACGAAACCCCUCUCCCCGACCGAUGAGGUGCGCGACCCCGUGCCCGAGAAAGGCGACGAUAAAGGGCCGGGAAGCUGACCCACCGAGGGCUGCGAGGCAGACGCCUCGACACGCGCGGCACCGCCGCGCCGACGGGAGAGAACGGAUGGAACGGCGAACCCUCGCCGGUGCAAGUCCGGACCACAAGGUAGCCCGGACGCGGUUCGGACGCUCAGCGGAAUGCCGGGUCGAACAGAAGGGGGCUUACUCCCCUCAGCC
This 392-nucleotide RNase P RNA is filed under the name Halobacteriales archaeon SW_10_68_16. RNAcentral describes it as "RNase P RNA component". It matches the Rfam family "Archaeal RNase P". Rfam says of the family: Ribonuclease P (RNase P) is a ubiquitous endoribonuclease, found in archaea, bacteria and eukarya as well as chloroplasts and mitochondria. Its best characterised activity is the generation of mature 5'-ends of tRNAs by cleaving the 5'-leader elements of precursor-tRNAs. Cellular RNase Ps are ribonucleoproteins. The record is from RNAcentral. Lineage: Archaea; Methanobacteriati; Methanobacteriota; Halobacteria; Halobacteriales.